GCCUGGCUGGCUCAGUAGGUAGAGCAUGUGAUUCUUGACCUCAAGGUUGUGAGUUCAAGUCCCAUGUUGGGUG
This 73-nucleotide transfer RNA is filed under the name Felis catus (domestic cat). It matches the Rfam family "tRNA". Rfam says of the family: Transfer RNA (tRNA) molecules are approximately 80 nucleotides in length. Their secondary structure includes four short double-helical elements and three loops (D, anti-codon, and T loops). The record is from Rfam by way of RNAcentral. Lineage: Eukaryota; Metazoa; Chordata; Mammalia; Carnivora; Felidae.